This 494-nucleotide ribosomal RNA is filed under the name uncultured bacterium. RNAcentral's name for it is "partial 16S ribosomal RNA". It matches the Rfam family "Bacterial small subunit ribosomal RNA", at positions 28 to 507 of the family's 1533-position model. The record is from RNAcentral.
GACGAACGCUGGCGGCGUGCUUAACACAUGCAAGUCGAACGGUGAAGCGCCUUCCUUUUUGGUGGGUGUGGAUGAGUGGCGAACGGGUGAGUAACACGUGAGUAACCUGCCCCCUUCUUCUGGAUAACCGCAUGAAAGUGUGGCUAAUACGGAAUAUUCUGGGUCUGUCGCAUGAUGGGUCUGGGAAAGAUAUUGUUUCGGUGGGGGAUGGGCUCGCGGCCUAUCAGCUUGUUGGUGGGGUGAUGGCCUACCAAGGCGGUGACGGGUAGCCGGCCUGAGAGGGUGGACGGUCACACUGGGACUGAGACACGGCCCAGACUCCUACGGGAGGCAGCAGUGGGGAAUAUUGCACAAUGGGCGCAAGCCUGAUGCAGCGACGCCGCGUGAGGGAUGGAGGCCUGCGGGUUGUGAACCUCUUUCGCCAGUGAAGCAGGCCUGCCUCGUUUGUGGGUGGGUUGACGGUAGCUGGAUAAGAAGCGCCGGCUAACUACGUG